Molecule: long non-coding RNA, 10148 nt
Filed under: Xyrichtys novacula (pearly razorfish)
Lineage: Eukaryota; Metazoa; Chordata; Actinopteri; Labriformes; Labridae
Source: RNAcentral
GGGAUCUUGGUGACCCUGUAACCUUUCUGCUGGACAGGUAAACCGCUUUAACAAAGUAAGACAAGUGUCUGUAACAGAAGUGUUUCUUGUCAAACGGACCUGCUGUAGCGUGUUGUAGCGCCAUCGCUAAACUGUCCUCCCUCGGGUCCUUGACUAUGUCACUUUAUCCUUGUUGUAGAAGUCCUGCAAACAUUGUGUUUGCUGGUAGUCUGUUGGCAUCUACAGUAGCACCAAUGCUUUUGACUUUCACCUUGACUGGGCCCCAUUUGUAAUGAUCUGAAGUAUUUAUCUGCAUUAUAUCUGAAUUUAAUUGGAACGAUACGAGCGAGCAGGAGCGUCUGUUUGUGGGCGGGGCUUGAGGGGAGAGGAGGAGCUGAGGGGAAAACUGGUUGGGAGGGGUAGAGUUUACAUUCAAGAUUUCUCCUAAAAACUGGAACUAACUCAGGUUCUUAAAGGUGGGGUUGUCAGGAUCUAAGUCUAAAUAUACAGAAGUGCACAAAAUAAAUACAGUGGUGUUAAGAAAAUAUAUUAAAUGAUGGGGUGCCAGGAACAAAACUUAGCAAAAGUCUGGUUUAUAUUUCAGAGCACUUUGCAGGUUACAAGAAGAAACCUUAAGUAGAACCAAACUCAUGUAGGACAGAUUGGAAAGGGGAUGGAGAAGUGAGCGUUUAUGUUCUAUGUCUCAACUUGGUAUUUACAACUCCAGGUUGAAGAAAUGACACUACAAGGACAACACGACUACAAGUGGUAAGUUCCAUUUUGUAAAAUUCAGGCCAGAUUCAAAGAGAAGGUAUUACAUUAAAAACAAACAAAAACAAAAACACAGUAGACAGUCAUUUUCUUUUAUGUUUCUGUUAUUCCAGAUAUCUUUACCUGCUCAGGUGUGCAGAAACGACUGAUACUUAACCGUUAGGGUCUCCCAAUCCCUGCUGAUGAACUCUCCAUCAUCUGCAUUAUUCCCCCCAACACUGCCUCUCUAUUUUGCACCACUACUCCACUAAGGUCAAGACAGAAACAGAACUAAUUCCACAUUCAGCAGCAGUCGCACCAUCUCCACGGAACAAUUAUGUGAUCCCCCUUUCACAUACAACCGCCGCUCUAAACUCUGACCUCCGCACGACUCUGCGUUAUUGGAUAAUGACGACAGCGGCGUGGAUGACAAUAGUGUUGCUGCCACGCUGUGACAAAUGGAGGGGAUCGUGACAGAGUUGUUAAAGAGGGCGGAGGCUCAUUUAGUGCACAGAGCAUGCUUGAGAUGUAUGGACCCAGCAUGCAACGCAGCCUCAAGCGGAGCCUGACCCCACAAGGACACUCAACGGCUAGAAUCCUUAACUUAGACCGGGAACUAAAGGGAGGGGAGGUGGCGGUGGAGACACCUAACACCGAGCGGUGUGAGCUUUUAUCUGGCAGACCUCAGCGGCCCACCUGAGAGCAGAGCCAGCUGGGGAGGGAGCAGAGUGUUAAGCUGCUGGCUGUCGCUGUGUCAUGUCUGUGUGUGUGUAAACAGGAGGCCUGCUCUCUGCUUCCACUGCUGCUGCCGCCGCCGCUGCUGCUGCUGCAUCUGAGGGCUUCUGUGAGAUGCGUGUUGCAGUUUGAUGAGUGUUUCUUGCUGCAGUGCGAGAAAAAAGAGAGAGAGAGCGAGAGACAUAGGGGUAGAGAGAGAGAGAGAGAGAGAGAGAGAGAGAGAGGGAGAGAAAUCCCUCCCCAUCUGAGCUUCACGUUUCCUGAUGUUGCCAGCACUCUUGCAUUUACAGAUGCACAUAUUUACUCACGUGUUCACAUGCACACUCUCCAAAAUGCAGACACACAUGCAAAGGGGGUCAAAGCAUACACAAAUAGUGCACGCACACACACACACAUACAGAGGGAGGGAGAGAGAGAGGGAGAGAGGGAGAGAGAGGGAGUGCUUCAGUGACCCAGCACAGCGAGAUAAGGCUGCUCUGCAAUUCAGAAAUAUGCAACCUGCAUGUUAACAACCCCUGGAGCGCAGCCUCCCCGGGGUGCUCUGCUCUUCCUUCUCUUUCAGCCUAUCCCCAUCACCCUGCUGCUCUGUGUGUGUGUGUGUGAGUGUGUGUCUAUCCUCAUCCUCACUCUCCACCCAUCCCUCCAUCCUGCACCUCCACCCUCCACCUCAGUUCACCUGACUGCAAGCAAAGAGAAAGAGAGAGAGAGUGAGGAGAGGAAAAUGGAGGAUGGAUGUUUUCACCGUCCGCAGAGUGUGUGUGUGUGUGUGUGUGUGUGUGUGUGUGCAGAGAUAAGCUGACUUUCUGCUGUGUUUCCUCGUCGGUCUGCUAGCAUGUGCAGAGUCCCAGGGAGCUGCUUUAGUGCGGAGCAGAGCUGGGGCAGGAGGGCUCAGGGAGGCAGAACACAACAUAUGGAGGACUAAUGAGGUUCUAUUUGGAGGGCUUCUCCAGUAGAGGUUAGACCGGGCCAAAUGUGGGGGGGUGAGGGAGGGCAGAGUUAAGGAGAAAAUAGGGGGGGAUCAACAGGGUCUGAAAAGGAAGAUGUUAGCCAGAGAGAGAGAGAGAGAGAGAGAGAGAGAGAGAGAGAGAGGACAGUGGAUAAGAGAAGAAGAGGGAAAAAAGAGAGCGAGAGAGCGAGAGAGAGAGAGCUGAGGUCCAUCCUCAGAGGUGGAGUGAGAUUGGCAGGUUUCCACAACGGAGACGCUAUUGAGAGUGACACGUCCACGCGACACACAGCUGUAACACAUCGGCUUUGAUACUAAUAUCAGUCUUUUUAGUGGGAAGGUUGAUGAAAUUUGCAUUUAGAUUGAAAUGACUCGGGGACGGCCAGGAGACCACAGAGGGCCACAGAGAGGAGGAGGAGGAGGAGGAGGAAGAGAGGAGGCGAGCGGGGAGUGUCUGUUUACUUCACACACACAACAACACACUCUCACAAAGUACACACCUAACAGGACUCCUCCCUGCAGGUUCCUGAACUCUGAGUGUAUUCUGGGUCUCCUCCUGACUGGGUCAAGGACGCAGGGGAAACUCUGUACAGCACAUCACCUCCUGCUGUUAGAAAACUACACAGACGUACCUGACAUUAUCAGGAGACAAAUAUACACAGAGGAGGAGGAGGAGGAGGACAGAGAGCUCAGUUUGUGUUUUAAGUUUUAAAUUCAGUCGCUUCCAAAUGUUUGUCUCUGCAAAAACUUCAUUUCUUCUCCUCGUAUAAUAUCAGCAUCAGAUACCAUUAUAGGAUCCGCUCACUUUGGACUCACUCCUCUCAUGUUGAACACUUCAAUAGAGAUGGGAAUCGAGUGGUUCAAUCCAUCGACAUCAUUUACAUUUCAUUUUAAUGAUUCCCUUAACGAUUCCUUUCUUCUGAACAGAGACUUUGAGGGGAAAAAACAUGGCGGAUGGUACGGAAAGUAGGCAGAAACGAUCUAAAGCGUGGCGUCAUUUUACUAAGAAAGACAACAACGAGUCUUGCAUGGAAGUUUUGAGUUUGUGUAGCGUGGAAUAACCGAGUUAGAAGCGCGUAAAAAACACUCAACCGUAGCCGUGUCCUCUUUUCAACUUAAUACCGACUUAGUAAAUGUUGUAAAGAUAGUUUGUCGUUUAGUCAUUUUUAGACUCUCACUAAAGGUGGCAUACAUAGAUAUUGAUUAAAUCGUAUCAAUUCCCAUCCCUACACUUCAAUCAGUAACAAAAGCUGUCAUUAAAAUAAAUGUGUAUAGAUCACAAACAGAACCACUAAAGCUUUUCAAUCACAACCGAGCACUCUCGAUUUCAUCUGGCACUACAGCUUUAAUAUUAUCUUAAUAUUAUCUGGUCUCUUUGCUCUGACUCACAUCGUCUGUAUGUUGUAAAACUUUUCCACAUUAGAGGUCAGGGUAUCAUCUGACUUCUCACUGGAAAAAAAAAUCAAUCAAUCAUUUUUCAUGUGGUCAAAGAGGUCAGAUUAAUUUAUUUUUACCUGAUUAUUUCCAUCAAAACACGUCCUUGAACUGCAACAGAACUUAUUUUUGUUAAAUCAGGGGUAAUUGAAAGAUUGUUUGGGGCUCUAUGUCAAACCAAAAACCGACACUGAACUCCUCAGAUGGUUUCAGAUUCAUGCAGGUUCAUGUCCCUGAGUGUCAGAGACGCCUCCUCCACUCAGAAGCUCAGCAGCAGGUUGAUUCGAGGCUCUCCCGGAGAACAAGAGCACCACCUUGUGUUAAUAUUUCAUAAAAGCACCUGCUUAAACCUCAACUUGCAUUCUUGUCACACGUGCACAUGUGGCUGAGGACAACUUCGAGCUGCAGGAAUGAACCUUUUUCACUUUCUCUGUAUAACUUUAUUAUCUCCAAACCACAAUCGCUGCAUCUGCAGGAAACGUCCUAAAGCUGUUAGUGAAAAAACUAAAUCUUCUUUAGAUUUCGUCCAAGUCAGCAGAAGAGUUUAACUAAAAAUAGAUGCAGAUUUUGCCCUUUUUAUGGAAAAAGUCCUAUAUCUAUUGAUCGUGAAGAUUAAUAUUCUGCAGUGUUAAAGACGGAAUCAAUACAAACCCCCCAAAAAACCAAUGAUUCUGCACUUCUUAACUAAUCAAUAGGAUGAAGUCUAUUGGCCUAUAAGGCGGCGAGGAUGUGCUUUUAAUAAGCGAUACACUCCAGCGAGCCUCAAAGCCUGAACCUGCACUCAUAUGACCGAAACCACACGGCGGCUCAGCGUGUACGGAUCGAUACAGCAGGUUUAUUAAGUGGCAUCCCAUUAAAACUGUGGUGAUAGUGGAUUUCUGCAACCACUCACCAUUAUAGUAAUGUGCGCCGAGAACACGGUGAUACGCACUAAGCUGGGAGAUGGGAUUGCAUUAAGUGUUAAUAGCAAUUUCCAACGCCACAACCAGCUCUUCAGAGGAUUUAUAAUCGUCUGUGUAAAACAAUUUAAUCCUCUCUGUCAAUAUAAUCCUGCUGAUAUUAUUAAAAACGCCCAUGAUGACAUGAUGCUGAUAUUACUAUUUUUGCCUCAGAGCAGAUCGCUUUAAUUCACCUGGUGGGAGGAAGUGUGUGAGAGUGUGUGUGUGUGAGAGAGAGAGAGAAAAUGAGUGCAUGGAGAGAUGAUGGGGGAGUGCAAAAGACAUUUUAGUGAUGAAGAGGCCCCGGGGGGGAGAUAGCUCUGAACUACCUGGGUACUUACAUUACAAGUUAAGGGAAUCAAACAGACACACACACACACACGCGAUAUGCAGUCUCUGAGCGAUCAAUUUAAUAUACCUACUGGUGUGGGUGAGAAAGCAACCCAAUCCUUCUUCAAUUCUCUGAAAUUAAACUCAGAGAUUAUUACCAAACGCCUGCUUGGACAAAAAGAGUGUAUUUAGAGUAGGACACCCCUCUGCGGACUCACUCUGUCUUGUAAUUCAUGAAAGGCAACGAUGCUUUUAGGAAAAAAGGGGGAAAAAUGCAAGAGAAAGUAGGACAUGAUUUAAUGUCUUAGGGGAGAUUAUAAGCCUCUCUUAAAGGCUUAGCCCUCCCCAUCACACCUUAAUAAUGGACCACCAUUUGUCCAAAGUCAUAGGCUAAUGGCCAAAUCACCAUAUGAAUGCAGCUGCUGUGUGUGUGCGUGUGUGUGUGUGCCUUUAGCUGUGUAACACUUCUAUCAUCUCUCCAGUGUGAGGAUCACUGCAUGGGUUAAUGUGAAUGGAGGAUGAAGUACCGCCGAUAACCAGCAGGUGUCAGUGUAGUCUUCACACCCCGUGUCUGCAGCCGCCUGAAAACAGGGGAUUGAACCUUGAGAAGACUACGAGAGGGGAGCGGCCUGCAGAGCACCGGCCAGCCAGAGCCGCAGUGCAUCAAACACAAGGUGGGUAAAUGAGUGUUAAUAACAGGAGGAGGGUCAGCUGGGGAGGGUGACAUGAUCCGGUCCAGGGUUUAUGGACCCUCUUAUUUAGGGGAACUCAUUUUUAACCAUCAGGAUAUGAAUAUAUCCCACAUCACGUCCCGAGUAAGUAAGUCAUGAAACCCCUCCUCCCCCUCCCGCCUGUAUACACCUGGAUAUCAUGGCAGGUGAAUCAGCCAGGUGGAACUCGGAGAAUGAUAGUGGUGCCGUUAUUUCAGCCACCUGAUUUGACUUUUAUCGCUCUGUUCGGCUUCGUUCCAGCAGGUUGUAAAGCACAUGCAAACACUUUACUGCUCCAGGGUGGACUUUGCUCUUUGUUAACAAUGGCUGAACAUACAGGGACAAUCUCUCCUCACCUGAUCAGCUGAGUAAUCUGGUUAAUAAUAAAGCUCUAUCCUUGUAAAAGUCAAACUAAGGUUAAAACUACUGUAUGUAGACGGGCGUUUUCAUGACUGGUUUUUAUUCUGGUUAUGUCAGCGCAGUGCGCUACCUGUGCUGAGUCCAUGGAGUUUAUUGGCACAAUUAUCUUGUUGGCUGUUUGUCAAAGAAACUAUCCCAAAAAUCAACUACCCAACAGUUAGGGCUGGGCGAUAAAAUUGUGUCGUAGCAGACAGCAGCUCCACCCAACCAUAGCACUUUAACAGGUGAAGCCGACAGCACUGUUGGUGAGAAACAAAGAAAAUGAGUGCUACCCCCGACAGAAAUGACCAUGAAGGCUCAACAGAUGACCACAUCAAUGUCAACGACAACACUGGCGUUAGGAAAACGUCGGUGGUGUGGAGGUAUUUUGUUUUUUUGGAGCGGAUUUUCACUCCUGUCCCGUCCCACCCCAGAGAAAAAAUCCUGUCCCAUCCCAAUCCCGGACCAGAGUAAAAAAAUUAAUCCUGUCCUGUCCCACUCCCGUAGAAUGACUCCCACUCUCAUCCCACUCCCACUCAAAAUUACUCCCACUCCUGUCCCGCUCCUGUUUGAUUAAAACCAAACAUGUUGAAAAAACGUUGCAUUUUUUUUUUUAGGUAAAUUACCUAAAAUAAAAAUUUUUAGGUAAAAGUGGCAGCCACUCCGGGUCGCUUUUCACUUCCGGUGGUGACAGGAAGUCAAACCACUGUUGUAGUUCUUUCAUGUUGCUAGCGCGGUCAAGAGUGUUGGCUCUCACCGAGAGAUGACUACAAAAAUGGACGCAUCUGUUCAUCUGGUUGUUGAACAGGCUUAAAAUGAUCAUCUAUUAAUGUUGUUCCCGCUCCCGUUGUUUUAUUUCCCGUCCCAAUCAUGUGAUUAAUUAAAAAAUGACUCCCAUCCCGUGGGAUUCCCGCGGGAACAACAUGACCCAUGGGAAUUCCCGAAAAAUGUCAUCCUCUAAUGUGCACCCCCCGAUUUGAAGGGGAAGUUAUUGUUGGUUCAGCCCUCCAACACAGUUCAGGUGUCUCAUGUGGCCCCAUAUAAAACUUAAUUGCCCUCCCCUGAUCUACAGUGAGGUAUGACAGAUGAAUAUAUUAGAAGACACGGCCAUUAAAAGGCCUGUUGCUCCAGAUCUGCAUGAGUUCGAGUGUAAAAUCCACCUUUAUCUGUUUGAACCAUGAAGACACACACUGUGAAAUCGAAGGUUGGCGUUAGCAGGCAGUUAUCCAAGCUUGCACAUAAGGCUUGUUAGCUAAUUAAAACAUUUUUUUUCUGUCUGUGUGGUUGGGAUAAAUAAAGUAUUUAUAAUUGGGUUUCCAAUUCUUGGAGCUGCUUUAAGUCUUCAUUUCAACCUAAGCUAGCAAGCUGUGACUGUAGCUUCAUUUAGCUUAGCACAGAUUUAUGGCGGCGAUCGCCUAAUGAUUAUUUCACUCAGCGAGUAAGUAAGCACAUUUCCUUUCAUGUAUAUCAAAGGCGAGUUCAUGGUUACAUUAACUCUCUUAUAUUUACAUAUUCUUGCUCCUGACGUCCAGAAGAGGAGCUCCUUCUCACCUUCUCUGUAUUUAAAUGUUCAUGUAAAUAACUCAGAAGUGAAACACAGCUGUGAGACGGCCUGCAGCUGAAUCUCCGAACAUGUAACCAAGUGUCGAGCAAAUGCCACUAAUUCGCACAUCCAUGCAUUCACCAUGGCAACAAGUUUCAUCCCAGCGUGAGAAUCAACAAACGGGUGUGUAUUGUCUUUCUUUUGCAUAAAUCCAUUUGUAUGUUUGUACUGUACUGCGUGUCCUGGAAUGUGGUGUUUUUGUGUCUCUUUCAGCGAGUCCAUGUUCACACACACACACACCUGGGUGAAAUCUUAUACUGUGACAUAAACUGAAGGGCAGAAUGAGAGCAGCUCUUUCACACAGGAAGCGAGAUAAGCACCUCUUUUGAAAAGCACAGUUUCAACCACUAAAUGAGCAGUCAUUCAGGAGCAAACAAUGGACAGACGGAGGGGAAAACAGGCAGGGGGAGAGAAAGAGAAGAUGGUUUGAUUUAGAGGCGAAAGGAAGAGCACAAAUAUUGUCUGGAGGUAGAAAGAGAGAGAGGGAGCGAGGGAGGGAGCAAUUAGUGAGGGAUAAAAAGCAUGGUGGGGGGGUAAGACAACCUCCUAUUACUCCAAUUAAUCCAAUUUAACAAAAAAAGAAAAAAAAAGGACUGAGCGCGGUGAAAAUGGCAGAUCCAUUUCCCUGACAACAGCGAGCGUUUGAGGGUCAGGAGUGGGCAGUCAGAGCAGCUCAGCCUCCUGGCUGGAUGAGCAGAGAACGGCACGCCGGCGUUUCAGCCCGGUGGAGGAGAGCACACGCCCUGUCAGCAGCGGCACGCACGUAAUCACUAAUUCAACAAGGCUUGUUGAUAAAUUUCCAUGGCAGUUAUGAUGUUAAGGCACUAUUUUAAUGCCUGUGUGCCGCGGACUCAGAGGGAAUACUAAUGCAGCGUUUGAAUAUGUAUCAAGCAGGCUCCAAUCUCGAUAGAUUAAUGACUGAAUUAAAAGAAAACCAUUUGACAUUAUCGUCACCAUCACUGAUCUAUAUGUUUGUUAAGCAGACUUGGAGCAGGUGUCAGAUGUUUGCUGAAGCUCCGCAGACAUGAAUAUGUAAGAAUGGACUCUAUUUUCAGCGUAUGAUCUUUGAUGGACAUGAAAGCGGUUUCUGUGGCGCCCUGCCACCGCCGAGUCCUUUACUGACCCAAUUAAAAUGUUGCCUUAGCCUCAAGUAGGUGGAGUGAUGUCCACUACCGCCAAAAGAUCUAAGCUGCUAAUUAACUCCAAAGCCCUGGCAUGCCUGAGAUCUACCUCAUGGUUCUGGCUUCAUGAAAGCUACAGUGGUAAUGGGAUGGAGUCCAGAACAUGACUAAUGCCGGUCCCUCCAGAACCCUGUGGCCUUUCCUGAGGGCAUGAAAACAUAUAUGUGUCUGAGUGUGGCAGAUGUUUAAAAAAACACGAUAGAAGCUGACAUGUAAAAUAGCUGUGGCACGCAGAUUAAUUAGGAAACAUAAUUGUGGUCAAUGCAUCAAUUUUUAUUAAUAAACCUGAACACAUGGGAAGAGAUGGACCUCAGGUCAUCUGGUGUUUCAGGUCUCAUCCUCAGACACAUUCACACAGCCGGGGGUGGGGGGUGGGGGGUGAUCAGGCCCCAGUUUUCUGACGGUAGCAUAUCCUCCCUUGUGUCACCCAUGUUUAGCCAGAGCACUACAGAAGACCUCUCUGGGACCUUCAGGAGGUUCUUGAUGGCUCGUCUUUGCAGCGCACACAUGCUGGACCCAGAGGUGAGUUUUCCCUACGAGGUCUGUUCAACAACAACCCUUCUUCAGCUACCAAGUCUACAGACUGUGAUCUCUACAGAGGGACUAGUGUUGGGCGGUAUGAACAAAAUCUUAUAUCACGGUAUGAGUAAUUUCAUAUCAUGGUAACAUUAUCACGGUAUGUUUUUCCCCCUGUAAAUUCAAUUACUGUCUUAAAAAUAAUCAAACUGUUGCAUUUGUUCAUUUUCCUUUUUUUACUACUGCCGCUAAUCUCCGCGUCCGCCAUAACCACCACCAGUUAAGCUGUUUCUUCUUCAUCGAAGCUACGAAUAUAUGAAUAUACGAAAACGCAACUAAAUCGACCGCCCCCGUUUGGCUUUCCUGUGAGCGAGCGCAGAUAACUACACACUGACUCAGAGAUGCAGCAGACAUCUGCUCUCUCUCUCCGGUAUAAACGGUAAAGCAACAUUUCUACCGGUAGACACUUUCAUACCAUCACAUGGUUUAUACUGUCAUGCCACCCAACUCUAGCCAGAGCAAUCUAGAAGACCUCUCUGAGACCUUCAUGGUGAUCUUGAUGGCUUGUCUUUGCAGCCCACACAUGCUGGACCCAGUGAUGAGACUUUCCUACCUGUUCAACCACAACCC